GGGACCUCCAGGCUUCCUCCACAGACUAGACUGAAGAACACGGGACAGCUGCCACUCAUCUCUCCCUCCCCCUGUUACAAGAAGAAAAUCACUCCAAGACGCUUCACAGUGCUCCUUGUCAAUGCUUUUCUCAACCUGAAGAAGCAGGAGGCUCUAUUCCAGUCUAUUCACAUCAGUGGGAAUGAAGAAGCAACAUUGGGCUUAGAACAGAAAUCUGAAAAUUGCGGACGGACAGCAGAUAGGAGCCACCUGUUUAAUUGUAUUCAAACUCGUCUGAACUGGUUUCUAAAGACCUUCAUCCUUCCCCUCCCCUCCAAGAAAAAGA
Lontra canadensis (Northern American river otter) is the source of this 325-nucleotide long non-coding RNA. RefSeq lists it as uncharacterized. The transcript has 3 exons. NCBI's taxonomy places the organism in Eukaryota, Metazoa, Chordata, Mammalia, Carnivora, Mustelidae. The record is from RefSeq and is a predicted model, not a curated record.